GAUGCUGUCAUUUUUUUUCAAUAUUGAUAGCGAAUUGGUGGCAGUCAUUUUAAACUGUGCGCCGCACUGGAUGCGAAUAGUGGUUGAAAGAUGCUGUCCAACGGCCUUUUUCUUU
This 115-nucleotide small RNA is filed under the name Pantoea stewartii subsp. stewartii DC283. The record is from RNAcentral. Lineage: Bacteria; Pseudomonadati; Pseudomonadota; Gammaproteobacteria; Enterobacterales; Erwiniaceae.